This is a non-coding RNA of Triticum aestivum (bread wheat), 145 nucleotides long. The record is from Rfam. NCBI's taxonomy places the organism in Eukaryota, Viridiplantae, Streptophyta, Magnoliopsida, Poales, Poaceae.
GUGUUUGCGGGCGCGGCACCAUCAAGAUUCACAUCCAUCCCAUCCAGGCAUCCUUCGGUUCGUUUCCAAAACGAAACGGUCGACAACGCGUUGGACACAAUAUAGAUGUGCAUGAGAAUCUUGAUGAUGCUGCGUCCGCACACAA